RNAcentral lists this transfer RNA (72 nucleotides) under Heterocephalus glaber (naked mole-rat). It matches the Rfam family "tRNA". Rfam says of the family: Transfer RNA (tRNA) molecules are approximately 80 nucleotides in length. Their secondary structure includes four short double-helical elements and three loops (D, anti-codon, and T loops). Lineage: Eukaryota; Metazoa; Chordata; Mammalia; Rodentia; Bathyergidae. The record is from Rfam by way of RNAcentral.
UGGGGUGGAGCUUGGUGGUAGAGCGCUUACCUAGCAUGCACAAGGCCCUGGGUUCCAUCCCCAGCACCACAA